RNAcentral lists this ribosomal RNA (699 nucleotides) under Bacillus sp. (in: firmicutes). RNAcentral describes it as "bacterial SSU rRNA". It matches the Rfam family "Bacterial small subunit ribosomal RNA", at positions 57 to 736 of the family's 1533-position model. Lineage: Bacteria; Bacillati; Bacillota; Bacilli; Caryophanales; Bacillaceae. The record is from RNAcentral.
GCAAGUCGAGCGAAUGGAUUAAGAGCUUGCUCUUAUGAAGUUAGCGGCGGACGGGUGAGUAACACGUGGGUAACCUGCCCAUAAGACUGGGAUAACUCCGGGAAACCGGGGCUAAUACCGGAUAACAUUUUGAACUGCAUGGUUCGAAAUUGAAAGGCGGCUUCGGCUGUCACUUAUGGAUGGACCCGCGUCGCAUUAGCUAGUUGGUGAGGUAACGGCUCACCAAGGCAACGAUGCGUAGCCGACCUGAGAGGGUGAUCGGCCACACUGGGACUGAGACACGGCCCAGACUCCUACGGGAGGCAGCAGUAGGGAAUCUUCCGCAAUGGACGAAAGUCUGACGGAGCAACGCCGCGUGAGUGAUGAAGGCUUUCGGGUCGUAAAACUCUGUUGUUAGGGAAGAACAAGUGCUAGUUGAAUAAGCUGGCACCUUGACGGUACCUAACCAGAAAGCCACGGCUAACUACGUGCCAGCAGCCGCGGUAAUACGUAGGUGGCAAGCGUUAUCCGGAAUUAUUGGGCGUAAAGCGCGCGCAGGUGGUUUCUUAAGUCUGAUGUGAAAGCCCACGGCUCAACCGUGGAGGGUCAUUGGAAACUGGGAGACUUGAGUGCAGAAGAGGAAAGUGGAAUUCCAUGUGUAGCGGUGAAAUGCGUAGAGAUAUGGAGGAACACCAGUGGCGAAGGCGACUUUCUGGUCUG